RNAcentral lists this long non-coding RNA (216 nucleotides) under Brassica rapa (field mustard). RNAcentral's name for it is "long non-coding RNA (BRAP_LNC000237)". The record is from RNAcentral. Lineage: Eukaryota; Viridiplantae; Streptophyta; Magnoliopsida; Brassicales; Brassicaceae.
CGGUUAGUAAACCAAAAACAAUACUAAACCAACAUGAACCAAUACCUGAUUCGGCGAGGAAGGAAGUGUUUCGGGAUAAACGCUUGAAUGGUUACUAACUGAAAUGGUUUGGUCAUGAGAGAGUUAGUAUGAAUAUUAACAAUAAAAUUAUGGAUUAGAUUAAUUUAAAUUUGUAAGAAUACCUUUGAGUCUAUGAAAAGCAAUUCAAUUCCCAUG